Molecule: ribosomal RNA, 258 nt
Filed under: uncultured bacterium
Lineage: Bacteria
Description: partial 16S ribosomal RNA
Rfam family: Bacterial small subunit ribosomal RNA
Source: RNAcentral
GACGUAGGGCGCGAGCGUUGUCCGGAUUUAUUGGGCGUAAAGAGCUCGUAGGCGGCUUGUCGCGUCGACUGUGAAAAACCCGCGGCUCAACCGCGGGCCCUGCAGCCGAUACCGGGGCAGGCUAGAGUUCGGUAGGGGGAGACUGGAAUUCCUGGUGUAGCGGUGAAAUGCGCAGAUAUCAGGAGGAACACCGAUGGCGAAGGCAGGUCUCUGGGCCGAUACUGACGCUGAGGAGCGAAAGCGUGGGGAGCGAACAGG